CAGCAGCCGCGGUAAUACGUAGGUGGCGAGCGUUGUCCGGAAUUAUUGGGCGUAAAGGGAGCGCAGGCGGACAUAUAAGUCCAUCUUAAAAGUGCGGGGCUCAACCCCGUGAGGGGAUGGAAACUGUAUGCCUUGAGUGCAGGAGAGGAAAGCGGAAUUCCCAGUGUAGCGGUGAAAUGCGUAGAUAUUGGGAGGAACACCAGUGGCGAAGGCGGCUUUCUGGACUGUAACUGACGCUGAGGCGCGAAAGCCAGGGGAGCGAACGGGAUUAGAUACCCCUGUAGUCCCUGUCUCUUAUACA
Molecule: ribosomal RNA, 301 nt
Filed under: uncultured bacterium
Lineage: Bacteria
Description: partial 16S ribosomal RNA
Rfam family: Bacterial small subunit ribosomal RNA
Source: RNAcentral